AAGUCGUAACAAGGUUUCCGUAGGUGAACCUGCGGAAGGAUCAUUAACACGUAUCCAACGUAAAAAACCCCCCUGUGAACAUUCAAACCUGCUCUCGUAGCCCAGUGCGAUCCAUUGUCGAACAGUACUGAUUCGGGACUUCUGACAAAUGAGAAGUUACAGUUACGAUUGAGCGGAGAUAGCUGCAUGGCAUCCCGAAGCAGUCAGUGUCUGAAAGUGUCAUUGAUUGUCUAAGGAUCUCGCCUCAACGAUUGCCAGAGGUCGCUCACCGACCGGCAGACAUGCAACCGGGUCCCCACGCCCCUUUACAACCCCAUUACCUCUGUGAGUCGCGGGAAACUAGCGGCUAAAAAACCUCGAACAACUGUUAACAAUGGAUAUCUUGGUUCUC
Molecule: unclassified non-coding RNA, 391 nt
Filed under: fungal sp.
Lineage: Eukaryota; Fungi
Description: partial internal transcribed spacer region
Rfam family: Eukaryotic small subunit ribosomal RNA (bases 1-46)
Source: RNAcentral